Non-coding RNA from Dipodomys spectabilis (banner-tailed kangaroo rat), 1117 nucleotides. The record is from the annotation of a RefSeq genome assembly. Lineage: Eukaryota; Metazoa; Chordata; Mammalia; Rodentia; Heteromyidae.
UGCUCUUAAAGGUUGUUUACACCUUGUGUGGAAGUCAGUCCCAGUCAGCACACAGCAUGGACAUGAGGGUCCCUGCGAAGCUCCUGGGGCUCCUCCUGCUCUGGCUCCCAGGUGCCAAAUGUGACAUCCAGAUGACCCAGACUCCAUCCUCCCUGUCUGCAUCUCCAGGAAACACAGUCACCAUCAAUUGCAGGGCCAGUCAGGGCAUUAGCAGUUGGUUAGCCUGGUUUCAGCAGAAACCAGGGAAAGCUCCUAAGCGGCUGAUAUAUAGAGCAUCCAAUUUAGAAUCAGGUGUCCCAUCCAGGUUCAGUGGCAGUGGAUCUGGGACAGAUUACUCUCUUACUAUCAGCAGCCUGCAGCCUGAAGAUUUUGCCACUUAUUACUGUAUGCAGUAUGAUAAUUUUCCCAUUAGUUCUGUCUUCCUUAGACAUGAGUAGCUUUUGAAUUAUCAUGAAUAGCUGUUGACUUUUAGAAAUAUUCUCAACUACUGUACUAAUAUUACCUUGUUUCUAAUCUUGAUAGAGUGGUGAAUUAUAUGGCUUAACAGAUUAUUUUAAAAUCACAUAUUUUGAAAAUGGCUUUCCAUUUGUGUAGUAUAUUUAACUUGCUCAAAAAUGGAGUCUUUGAGAGAAGGAGGAGGAGGUAAACAUGGAGGAAGAAGUGGAGGAGGAGAAUAAGAUGAAUUUCUCCUUUAAUAUGACAAAUUUGAACAAUGUGAGGAAGAGAAAAGAUGAAGUUCUUUUCAUCUAUAGUCACAAAGAUAGGGUAUAAAGAUAAUUGUGGAAUUUAAAUGAUAUUAAUAAAGUUUUAUGAAGGUGAAUAAAACAGAUGGAAAGAAAUGAUGACCUGAGCCACCGACAAGAUGGGAAGUGCUGCUCCAACUCCACAUGGAGAUGACCUUGGAGAAAGCAUGGCCAUUGUGGUCCACAAUGCUGCAAGAACAAGAUUUGUUGAUGCACAGCUAUCCCAUUUGGGGAAAUGAUAUAAUUUAUCCUAACCUCAAACAUAACUGUACAAGGCAAAACUCAAAUGAGAUGAGUGGAAAGUGUCUUUUUCCCACUUCCUAUGGUACCCCUGUCUUGUCAGUUACAAUGGAAAAUGUUUAAUUUUCCAUGGA